AAUAGUUUGUCGUUCAGAGUCAGAGCCCUUGCAUGUUGUUCAUCAUUCAUCUCCCUUGCUCUCUUUAGAAAAAGGUUUGAAGCACAAAGCUACUUUUUACUAGUAAUAUUGACGUAGGCAGGCUGGAAAAGGUUGAAAAUAGAGUUAAUAAUAAGCAUGUGGCAACGUCUUUUCUUUGUGGGGUUGGCACCUGUUAAUGUCCAAUGUCGUUUCUUGUGUGCUUUUACACACCAAGCAAGUGUAGUUGUGGUCGUUGGGUGAACAAACUCUCUAUAACCAUGUCAACUUUGGAUAAUUUCCUUCAGCUUUUGGAUUACAUCACAUACAAUUUCAUUGAGCUUUUGCCCAUAGCUUACAAAUUACAAUUGUGUCGUCAGCUUGAUUGGGUAAUCACAUUUAAGAAUUAAACCAUAACCAGUCAACAAAAAAAAAAAAAAAAAAAAAAAGAAGAAGAAGACCAUCCUCCUUUGGUCUAUUUAUAUCCUAAUUUACCUAAUUUUGAAUUCGAUCAGGAAGAAAAAAACUUAUUUGCAAUGGGAUGUAUAUAUUCUUUCUCUCUUUUCUUACGUGUCCGUUUCUCUCUGCCAAAAGAGAGAGCCCGAGAGAAAAAAGGUAUACACAGUACACAUGCGUUUCACUACAAUGACUAUACUUGCAGGUUGUUUUCCUACGAAGCCAAUCGGUUCUUAAUUUUUUCCCUAAUCAGCAAGGGAAAAUGUCAAUAUGAUUAAGUUUGAGACGCAAUGUCACCUUUUUUGAGUACCAUAACAGUUUCCUUCGUAAUAUUUAAUGCACCCCACUAUCAUUACACCCAG
This 815-nucleotide long non-coding RNA is filed under the name Prunus persica (peach). Its description in RNAcentral is "long non-coding RNA (PPER_LNC002716)". Lineage: Eukaryota; Viridiplantae; Streptophyta; Magnoliopsida; Rosales; Rosaceae. The record is from RNAcentral.